UCUCAUUUGCUCUGACAUGCACUGUGAGCUGUAAGGUCUUAUAUAGACAGGUGUGUGGCUUUCCUAAUCCAGUUCAAUCAGUAUAAACACAGCUGGACUCAAAUGAAGAGGUGUGUUCGAGCUCAUGCGGCGCUGCGCAGACCGAUCGGCGAGGUUUGCCGCUUGCAGUCGAGGGAGGAGCUGAAGACGGAGCCAUCAAGUCGGACAACCUGGCUUCCGUAGUUUCCUGCGUUUACUUCAGACAUGGCAGAUCACGUGGUGUUCGUUUUCUUUAUAGCAGACGAAGUAGAAGCGAUAGAAAUUCCAUUAUUGUUGCAUGAAAUUGAGCACAACGAUCACCAAAGGUUAGUAAAAGGUUUAAUGCAAUACAGUAAUUUCUUUUUUCAAAAGAAAAUGUAAAAAAAAAAAAUUAUACUAGGCCUACAUAAAAAUGACAUAACCUAAUCAUACGAUUAACUUAAUUAAAAUUAUGUAUAUCCUUAUAAAAAGGAAUAAGCCAAAUAUCUAACUUUAGUUCUUAUUUUUUUAAAAAGUCAAAAACUCUGCUGUUAGACUUUUAAUGGGUGUUAAAAACCGAACACAUUUAACUUCACGCCUAACUCUUUAUUGUUUGACUACAAUCCCAGUUUUAACAUAAAACAUUGAUAUUCAAUUUUACUAUGUGUCUCAAUCUACAUGUAUUUAUUGAUUAUAUAUUUCUAUUUCUGAUAUUUAGAAUAGUUCCAAAAAUACUGCAUUUUGUGGAAGAUGUUAUGCCUCUCUACAGUCCUUCAGAAUUUAAAGGUCAUUUCAGGCUUUCCAGAGAUCAAGUGGAGCUCUUCCACAAUGGUUUCCAUACUGGUCAACAUCUUUCUUUCAAAGGAUCGCCUUCGCCUCUCCUUUAGUUGCCGCUAUCUCUCCAAGUCAGGCCUCACCAGUGUCUCGAGCACAGCAGUCCUCCUUUCUGCAUGCGCUUCAUAUGCCUCCAAAACAGAGGAUUGCGUCUCUUCCAAAAAUAACGGCAUGGAGUAAAUUGUACCAGGUGAUGCAGUGCCAAUCCCUGACGAGCCAAAUAACUCAUCCAGCUGUAGGAAAAAAAAGCAGUGCACAAUGAAUCUCUAAUCUUCAGUCACUUAGUAAUACAAUAUGGUUUUACACUUUCUGUAUAGUACUCCCAGGCAUUCUUCCCCUCCCCAGUUGCACGUCGUCUGUCCUUCACCCUUUUGUAGGUUUGUCAACAUGUUUGAUAGCUUUUGUUGACAGGUUGUUCCCCUUCUGUGUGAAUGCCGUUCGAAGUUUCUGAUAGAAAGCCGGUUUGUUCCUGAAGUACAGUUGUUGAUGAGUUUUUGUUAGGUCCAGUAGCAAUAAUGUCAUUGUGUGUCAUUUCUGAGGGAAGAGACAGAAUAAAAAAAUAAAUAAACAACCGAAAACAAUCUGAAUAGUAUUUAUUCACAGCAUUGACAUUUAUCUUCCUUACAAUCUUGGAUGCAAUACCUUGUUGUGAUUCAUGGCUGUCUGACUGGAUGGAGGUAGAUGACCUUUGAAUGGCUUUACUUGCUUGGAGAGUGGCAGACACUGGGACACUGACACUGGGGGUAAGUGGAACUGGGGGCCUGGUGGUAGUUAUCAGUCCCUCCAGAAAAACGGGAUUAUGCGAUCGCCUGAUUUAACGCAUAAUCAGCCAAAGUCCGCAUAUUUAUGCGGGGGUCGCAUUUUUUCAAAUACGCCGCACUUUCGCCGCAUAAAUUGCCGAUUUCAGCAAGCAAAAUAUGCGGGGCUAGCAUGAUUUCAUAAUCCCUGUAUUUUCGUUGCAAAAAAGUCACAUAUAUCUUAGCAGAAAGUUGAAAAAUGUUGCGUUUACUUCACACAAGUAAAGCGCCAUUUUUCCCCCUAUUGCCAUGGGAACCUUAUGAAAUGACGUAAUUACGCGACGUGAACAUCAUCUGCAAGCCCCGUGGUGAAACCAAGGUAAAACCAUGAUGAAGCACGCAAAUCAUUCUCAUUUGCAACAAAAAUAAGCACAAAACCUUACAGUUGUAAGUAAAAUAAUUUACGUUGCAGUAAGAGAUUGCACUUUGUGCAUUGGAAGCACUUAAUUUAACAGAAGAUGUCUGUUUUGUAUAGCUACCUCUGUAAAACAGGAAGCACACAUUUUAUUUAUUUUUUAUAUUUUAUUUAUUCAUUUUUACAGAAGUUGUUGAAUAUUCCUUUUGUAAAGCUACAGAACUUGUUUGACUCAAUGUUUUGUAAGUUUGAGCCAUGUGUUAAUUAAUGUCUGAAAUAAAACAGAAUGAGAACUUAAAUAUUCUGUGAUUUAGUAUGCUUGCUUAUCAUAGGAAGUAAUAAGAAAUAACUCUUUACAUUAAGGUAGUAGCCUAGUGAGAACAGGGUGUUGGGGAAAUCACCUUUUUUUCUCUUUUUCAUCAAACCGCAGUUUUUGCAAGUUCCCGCAAUUUCAUUGCAUAAAAUUGCAAAAAUAUCCUGCAUAUUCCAUUGCAUUUUUUAAGAAAACGUGCCGCAAAAUCAAGGAUUUUUGCCCACAACAAUCACAAAAAAAAUCUGCGUUUUUCUGGAGGGACUGAGUUAUAUUGCACUGGCUGGUUGAUGGUGGUGGUGACGGUGGCUUCAGAGUGGGAGGUUGAGGGACCUUUGGGAUUGAAGCUGGGCCACUGAUGAGGGCUGUUUGGAGAGAAAGCAUUAAAAUGUGGUCAUUGUCACUUACAAAAAUAUUGACAAAAGCUCAAACUUUUAAUUAAAGACAAUUGUGUAAAAGUAUACCU
Megalobrama amblycephala (Wuchang bream) is the source of this 2759-nucleotide RNA transcript. RefSeq lists it as uncharacterized. Lineage: Eukaryota; Metazoa; Chordata; Actinopteri; Cypriniformes; Xenocyprididae. The transcript has 2 exons. The record is from RefSeq and is a predicted model, not a curated record.